This 444-nucleotide ribosomal RNA is filed under the name uncultured bacterium. RNAcentral's name for it is "partial 16S ribosomal RNA". It matches the Rfam family "Bacterial small subunit ribosomal RNA", at positions 354 to 796 of the family's 1533-position model. The record is from RNAcentral.
GUAGGGAAUAUUGGGCAAUGGUCGGAAGACUGACCCAGCCAUGCCGCGUGCAGGAAGACGGCCCUCUGGGUUGUAAACUGCUUUUAUCUGGGAAGAAAAAGGCCAUGCGUGGCAAAUUGCCGGUACCAGAUGAAUAAGCACCGGCUAACUCCGUGCCAGCAGCCGCGGUAAUACGGAGGGUGUGAGCGUUGUCCGGAUUUAUUGGGUUUAAAGGGUGCGUAGGCGGCUGAUUAAGUCAGCGGUGAAAGACUUCGGCUUAACCGGAGCAGUGCCGUUGAUACUGGUUGGCUUGAGUGUCGGAGGGGUACAUGGAAUUGAUGGUGUAGCGGUGAAAUGCAUAGAUACCAUCAGGAACACCGAUAGCGAAGGCAUUGUACUGGCCGACAACUGACGCUGAUGCACGAAAGUGUGGGGAUCGAACAGGAUUAGAAACCCCGGUAGUCC